AGUAACGCGUGAGCAAUCUGCCUUUAAGAGGGGGAGUAACAGUCGGAAACGGCCGCUAAUACCGCAUAAAGCAUCAAAUUCGCAUGUUUUUGAUGCCAAAGGAGCAAUCCGCUUUUAGAUGAGCUCGCGUCUGAUUAGCUGGUUGGCGGGGUAACGGCCCACCAAGGCGACGAUCAGUAGCCGGACUGAGAGGUUGAACGGCCACAUUGGGACUGAGACACGGCCCAG
This 228-nucleotide ribosomal RNA is filed under the name uncultured bacterium. RNAcentral's name for it is "partial 16S ribosomal RNA". It matches the Rfam family "Bacterial small subunit ribosomal RNA", at positions 109 to 334 of the family's 1533-position model. The record is from RNAcentral.